UACAGAUUUAAUAUUUUCAGUAUAAGGGAACACGGUUUAAAUCCGUGGCGGGCCCGCCGCUGUAACCGGGGACUUGUAUUCAAAGAGGCGAAAGCCCGGCCACUAUAUCUCAUAACAGGGAUAUGGGAAGGCCGUUGAAAUCAGGAACGAUCCGGUAGCCAGAAGACCUGCUGGAAAUAUUCAGUUCUG
Molecule: non-coding RNA, 189 nt
Filed under: Lentisphaerota bacterium
Lineage: Bacteria; Pseudomonadati; Lentisphaerota
Source: RNAcentral